Molecule: small nuclear RNA, 160 nt
Filed under: Choloepus hoffmanni (Hoffmann's two-fingered sloth)
Lineage: Eukaryota; Metazoa; Chordata; Mammalia; Pilosa; Megalonychidae
Description: U1 spliceosomal RNA (ENSCHOG00000015574.1)
Rfam family: U1 spliceosomal RNA
About the family: U1 is a small nuclear RNA (snRNA) component of the spliceosome (involved in pre-mRNA splicing). Its 5' end forms complementary base pairs with the 5' splice junction, thus defining the 5' donor site of an intron. There are significant differences in sequence and secondary structure between metazoan and yeast U1 snRNAs, the latter being much longer (568 nucleotides as compared to 164 nucleotides in human).
Source: RNAcentral
ACACUUACUUGGCAGGGAAGACCCAGGACCAACGAAGGUGGUUUUCCCAGGGAAAGGCAUAUCCAUUGCACUCUGGAUGUACUGAUCCCUGUGAUUUCCCCAAAUGGGGGAAACUCAACUGCAUAAUUUGUGGUGGUGAGAGACUGCAUUGGAGUUCUUC